This 497-nucleotide ribosomal RNA is filed under the name uncultured bacterium. Its description in RNAcentral is "partial 16S ribosomal RNA". It matches the Rfam family "Bacterial small subunit ribosomal RNA", at positions 28 to 507 of the family's 1533-position model. The record is from RNAcentral.
GAUGAACGCUGGCGGCGUGCCUAAUACAUGCAAGUCGAGCGAACAGACGAGGAGCUUGUUCCUCUGACGUUAGCGGCGGACGGGUGAGUAACACGUGGAUAACCUACCUAUAAGACUGGGAUAACUUCGGGAAACCGGAGCUAAUACCGGAUAAUAUAUUGAACCGCAUGGUUCAAUAGUGAAAGACGGUUUUGCUGUCACUUAUAGAUGGAUCCGCGCCGCAUUAGCUAGUUGGUAAGGUAACGGCUUACCAAGGCAACGAUGCGUAGCCGACCUGAGAGGGUGAUCGGCCACACUGGAACUGGGACCCGGUCCAGACUCCUACGGGAGGCAGCAGUAGGGAAUCUUCCGCAAUGGGCGAAAGCCUGACGGAGCAACGCCGCGUGAGUGAUGAAGGUCUUCGGAUCGUAAGACUCUGUUAUUAGGGAAGACCAAAUGUGUAAGUAACUAUGCACGUCUUGACGGUACCUAAUCAGAAAGCCACGGCUAACUACGUG